This 1886-nucleotide long non-coding RNA is filed under the name Macaca fascicularis (crab-eating macaque). RNAcentral describes it as "lncRNA (ENSMFAG00000053968.1)". The record is from RNAcentral. Lineage: Eukaryota; Metazoa; Chordata; Mammalia; Primates; Cercopithecidae.
UUUUUUUUUUUUUUUUUUGACAUGGAGUCUUGCUCUGUCACCUGUCGCCAAGGCUGGAGUGCAGUGGUGCAAUCUUGGCUCACUGCAACCUCUGCUUCCUGGGUUCAAGCGAUUCUCCUGCCUCAGCCUCCCAAGUAGCUGGGAUUACAGGCGCGUGCCACCACACCUAAUUUUUGUAUUUUUAGUAGAGACAGGGUUUCACCAUGUUAGCCAGGCUGGUCUCAAACUCCUGACCUCGUGAUCCACCUGCUUUGGCCUCCCAAAGUGCUAGGAGUACAGGCAUGAGCCACCGCACCCAGUCAAGACCCCAACUCUUUAAAAAAGAAAAUAAAAGAAAUAGUUGACGUAUCCUGUGCCAGGCUUGUUUUUGUCUUUGUGAGGUAUUGGAGGAAGGAGGUGCUGAGAGACGUGCGUUUCUUCCCAGAUAUUUUCAGGCUCCAGUCUGAGGGUCCAGUGCUAUCAGGCAUGGCUCCCAGGCAGCUGCCUGCUGACGUUCUGACUGUCCAUACUGCGAUGGUCCAUGACCUGUCCUGCAGGCGGAAGGGUGGGUCUUGCCCAGCUGGUUCCAGUUAGGCACAAGAAAGCGGGCGAGGGGUAUAUUUAGCCCUGGUUUCUGGAGGAGCCAGAGGUCUUUCAUCCUUGGAGGCGCCAGCCGCAGUGGGACACAGCUUGCCAACGCUGGGCUCCUGGGCUGCAGGCUUCAGGGCAGAGAGUGGGGUCAGGGAGGAGAAGGGGCAAAUGUGAUCUUCGCCAUUUCAGGGGCCAGAGUUGGGGGCCAAGUGGUGAUGCCAGCCAGGGCAAGCGAGACUUGACUGCCAUGCUCAGAAUAUGUCCUGUAAGCUGGAGGGCUCCUGUAGGUAGUGGAGGGCAGGCCUGGGGGGCAGGGGGGACCUGCUGCCUGCCCCUCCAGCCCAGACCCAGCCUAGGCCUAGUAUGUCCACAGUGUCAGGUUUAUUCUCUGGUGCUUAGCCCUGGCCUGGGAAUCUGGGGGCCUGUCCUUAUUAGAAGUGAGCAGGGGCAGAGUUCAAGGAGUAGGGAGGGGUACCCAAGACUGCCUGACAUGUUUGAGUGUUCAUGUUUGGAGAAGGUGGGAGGGUUGGGGGGCAGAUAUACACAUGCAGGAGAGAAAGAGGCAGGCACAGAGGGGUAACAAUAUGCCACAUGGUGUGUUGGGGUCUACAGGAGGGGCACACAUGUUUGAUUCAGCACCAUGUGCUGGGGCUAUGUAGUCUGAACAUGGUGUGAUGGGGCUUGUGGGCUGGGACCCCAUGAGGCAUGGAGGAUUGUGUUGCUGGGAUCUGGUGGUGUGUGGGUGUGAGAUGACCCACGGGUGACCAUGGCAUGCUCCAUUGUGGGUGACUAGGACAGCGUGUGACUCCAUCAUGCUGUCCGUGGGGGCAGCCUAUGAGUAUGACUGGAGACGAGGGACUAGAGUUUAAACUGUAUAACUGUGAUCUUGUGGGGUGUGUAAUUAUCCCCCUGGAUGUUGGUCUCUGUGUGUGAGACUGAGUAAACACAUGUGUGGAUGGGGAUUUGGGGCUCUGGCUCUGCGUGUGCGUGUGUGUGUGUGUGCGUGCAUACGCACUGUGAUUGUGAUUCUGAGUGUAGCUAGGUGUGUGAAACGUGCACAGACUUAUCAGUCACUGCAAACAAGGCCUGCUACCUGCCGAGGUUCAUGGCCUCUUGCCCUUCCGGGGACCCCCACCCCAAAGCCACAGGCCCUCUGGGCCUGAGGGAGGGAACCCUACAAGUUGUAAGCGCCUGUCUCUCUCCUAAUCCUUUCACCCCCACUCCCUCCGACCCGUCCCCACAGACUGCAGGCUUCUACCUGCCCCGGGCGGGAGGCAAGGGAGAGAAAGAGGAGCCUGCCCGCCUGCCCGCCGCCC